This 2927-nucleotide ribosomal RNA is filed under the name Salmonella enterica subsp. enterica serovar Albany str. ATCC 51960. RNAcentral's name for it is "bacterial LSU rRNA". It matches the Rfam family "Bacterial large subunit ribosomal RNA". Lineage: Bacteria; Pseudomonadati; Pseudomonadota; Gammaproteobacteria; Enterobacterales; Enterobacteriaceae. The record is from RNAcentral.
GGGUUGUGAGGUUAAGCGACUAAGCGUACACGGUGGAUGCCCUGGCAGUCAGAGGCGAUGAAGGGCGUGCUAAUCUGCGAUAAGCGCCGGUAAGGUGAUAUGAACCGUUAUAACCGGCGAUACCCGAAUGGGGAAACCCAGUGUGACUCGUCACACUAUCAUUAACUGAAUCCAUAGGUUAAUGAGGCGAACCGGGGGAACUGAAACAUCUAAGUACCCCGAGGAAAAGAAAUCAACCGAGAUUCCCCCAGUAGCGGCGAGCGAACGGGGAGGAGCCCAGAGCCUGAAUCAGCAUGUGUGUUAGUGGAAGCGUCUGGAAAGGCGCGCGAUACAGGGUGACAGCCCCGUACACAAAAGCGCAUGUGCUGUGAGCUCGAUGAGUAGGGCGGGACACGUGGUAUCCUGUCUGAAUAUGGGGGGACCAUCCUCCAAGGCUAAAUACUCCUGACUGACCGAUAGUGAACCAGUACCGUGAGGGAAAGGCGAAAAGAACCCCGGCGAGGGGAGUGAAAAAGAACCUGAAACCGUGUACGUACAAGCAGUGGGAGCACAGGUUUACCUGUGUGACUGCGUACCUUUUGUAUAAUGGGUCAGCGACUUAUAUUCUGUAGCAAGGUUAACCGCAUAGGGGAGCCGGAGGGAAACCGAGUCUUAAUUGGGCGUUAAGUUGCAGGGUAUAGACCCGAAACCCGGUGAUCUAGCCAUGGGCAGGUUGAAGGUUGGGUAACACUAACUGGAGGACCGAACCGACUAAUGUUGAAAAAUUAGCGGAUGACCUGUGGCUGGGGGUGAAAGGCCAAUCAAACCGGGAGAUAGCUGGUUCUCCCCGAAAGCUAUUUAGGUAGCGCCUCGUGAAUUCAUCUCCGGGGGUAGAGCACUGUUUCGGCUAGGGGGCCAUCCCGGCUUACCAACCCGAUGCAAACUGCGAAUACCGGAGAAUGUUAUCACGGGAGACACACGGCGGGUGCUAACGUCCGUCGUGAAGAGGGAAACAACCCAGACCGCCAGCUAAGGUCCCAAAGUCAUGGUUAAGUGGGAAACGAUGUGGGAAGGCCCAGACAGCCAGGAUGUUGGCUUAGAAGCAGCCAUCAUUUAAAGAAAGCGUAAUAGCUCACUGGUCGAGUCGGCCUGCGCGGAAGAUGUAACGGGGCUAAACCAUGCACCGAAGCUGCGGCAGCGACGCUUAUGCGUUGUUGGGUAGGGGAGCGUUCUGUAAGCCUGUGAAGGUGGCCUGUGAGGGUUGCUGGAGGUAUCAGAAGUGCGAAUGCUGACAUAAGUAACGAUAAAGCGGGUGAAAAGCCCGCUCGCCGGAAGACCAAGGGUUCCUGUCCAACGUUAAUCGGGGCAGGGUGAGUCGACCCCUAAGGCGAGGCCGAAAGGCGUAGUCGAUGGGAAACGGGUUAAUAUUCCCGUACUUGGUGUUACUGCGAAGGGGGGACGGAGAAGGCUAUGUUGGCCGGGCGACGGUUGUCCCGGUUUAAGCGUGUAGGCUGGUUUUCCAGGCAAAUCCGGAAAAUCAAGGCUGAGGCGUGAUGACGAGGCACUACGGUGCUGAAGCAACAAAUGCCCUGCUUCCAGGAAAAGCCUCUAAGCAUCAGGUAACAUCAAAUCGUACCCCAAACCGACACAGGUGGUCAGGUAGAGAAUACCAAGGCGCUUGAGAGAACUCGGGUGAAGGAACUAGGCAAAAUGGUGCCGUAACUUCGGGAGAAGGCACGCUGACACGUAGGUGAAGUGAUUUACUCAUGGAGCUGAAGUCAGUCGAAGAUACCAGCUGGCUGCAACUGUUUAUUAAAAACACAGCACUGUGCAAACACGAAAGUGGACGUAUACGGUGUGACGCCUGCCCGGUGCCGGAAGGUUAAUUGAUGGGGUCAGCGCAAGCGAAGCUCCUGAUCGAAGCCCCGGUAAACGGCGGCCGUAACUAUAACGGUCCUAAGGUAGCGAAAUUCCUUGUCGGGUAAGUUCCGACCUGCACGAAUGGCGUAAUGAUGGCCAGGCUGUCUCCACCCGAGACUCAGUGAAAUUGAACUCGCUGUGAAGAUGCAGUGUACCCGCGGCAAGACGGAAAGACCCCGUGAACCUUUACUAUAGCUUGACACUGAACAUUGAGCCUUGAUGUGUAGGAUAGGUGGGAGGCUUUGAAGUGUGGACGCCAGUCUGCAUGGAGCCGACCUUGAAAUACCACCCUUUAAUGUUUGAUGUUCUAACGUGGACCCGUAAUCCGGGUUGCGGACAGUGUCUGGUGGGUAGUUUGACUGGGGCGGUCUCCUCCUAAAGAGUAACGGAGGAGCACGAAGGUUGGCUAAUCCUGGUCGGACAUCAGGAGGUUAGUGCAAUGGCAUAAGCCAGCUUGACUGCGAGCGUGACGGCGCGAGCAGGUGCGAAAGCAGGUCAUAGUGAUCCGGUGGUUCUGAAUGGAAGGGCCAUCGCUCAACGGAUAAAAGGUACUCCGGGGAUAACAGGCUGAUACCGCCCAAGAGUUCAUAUCGACGGCGGUGUUUGGCACCUCGAUGUCGGCUCAUCACAUCCUGGGGCUGAAGUAGGUCCCAAGGGUAUGGCUGUUCGCCAUUUAAAGUGGUACGCGAGCUGGGUUUAGAACGUCGUGAGACAGUUCGGUCCCUAUCUGCCGUGGGCGCUGGAGAACUGAGGGGGGCUGCUCCUAGUACGAGAGGACCGGAGUGGACGCAUCACUGGUGUUCGGGUUGUCAUGCCAAUGGCACUGCCCGGUAGCUAAAUGCGGAAGAGAUAAGUGCUGAAAGCAUCUAAGCACGAAACUUGCCCCGAGAUGAGUUCUCCCUGAGACUUAGAGUCUCCUGAAGGAACGUUGAAGACGACGACGUUGAUAGGCCGGGUGUGUAAGCGCAGCGAUGCGUUGAGCUAACCGGUACUAAUGAACCGUGAGGCUUAACCUUACAACGCCGAAG